Molecule: ribosomal RNA, 405 nt
Filed under: uncultured microorganism
Description: bacterial SSU rRNA
Rfam family: Bacterial small subunit ribosomal RNA
Source: RNAcentral
GAGUUUGAUCGUGGCUCAGAUUGAACGCUGGCGGCAUGCCUUACACAUGCAAGUCGAACGGUAACAGGUCUUCGGAUGCUGACGAGUGGCGAACGGGUGAGUAAUACAUCGGAACGUGCCCAGACGUGGGGGGAUAACGAGGCGAAAGCUUUGCUAAUACCGCAUACGAUCUAAGGAUGAAAGCAGGGGACCGCAAGGCCUUGCGCGUUUGGAGCGGCCGAUGGCAGAUUAGGUAAUUGGUGGGAUAAAAGCUUACCAAGCCGACGAUCUGUAGCUGGUCUGAGAGGACGACCAGCCACACUGGGACUGAGACACGGCCCAGACUCCUACGGGAGGCAGCAGUGGGGAAUUUUGGACAAUGGGCGAAAGCCUGAUCCAGCAAUGCCGCGUGCAGGAUGAAGGCCU